This 2296-nucleotide unclassified non-coding RNA is filed under the name Hevea brasiliensis (rubber tree). Lineage: Eukaryota; Viridiplantae; Streptophyta; Magnoliopsida; Malpighiales; Euphorbiaceae. The record is from RNAcentral.
UUUUUUUUUUUUUUUUAAAUGAAACAGUUCAAAAGUACUCCCCGAGUGAGCACAUUGAUCCAGGAAUCCAUAUAUCAUCUAAUACGACCCUAAAAUAGACUUCCCACGAGACUAAGAUUAUUAAAAUAUGGAACCAAGGAACCAAGAUUUAUGUUUGCGAUGAUAAAUGAAAUAUUAAAUUCUCAACGUUAAUGAAGAGAUGCUCCAAGUAACUUCAGCGAAUUGCACAGGCAUAUACAUUUCCUGCUUAACAUGUAAAAACAUCAUCAAGAGAAUUUUAGAUACAGUAAAGUGGUCUUAAGUAAUGAAGGAAAAAAAAAAUAUAUUUCAUCCAGUUACUUUUAGUUUCCAAAAAAAUGAAUUACAUGUCAGAAAAGCUUUUUAUCUUUCCAGUCUAUUCAUCAUUUGGACAAACCAAUGUGGCAAUGUGGGCCAACAGAAAUUUAAAUAAUACUUCAGUAGUUGUACAAGAAUAAAAUAUAUAAUCUUUUUAGGCAAUUUUUUGAAUCUAAUGACUCUAAAUUGCUAUCAAAGACAGUAUGAGGUAAACUACUACUGUGUUAGGUUAUCAAUCACAAGGCACAAAAUAACAUUAUACUUUAUUCAGUUUUUCCUUUCCAUAUUCCUUGAUUGAUUCUUUUAAGAAGUAAAUAUAUCCUUACAUCUAGAAUGAAGAAAGAUAAAGAUUACCUUGUCCAAGAAUCAGAAAAGCAGUUGCAGCCAAUGUAACAAGAUCAUGUAUCCUUUCACCAGCAAAAAUUGCUUGAAUAACUAGUGAAAGAAAGAAGGAAGAAAGAAAGAAAAACAGAAUUUAUGCCAGAAUGCAAAUCACUAAACAUUCAUGGGGAAAAAGUGGAAAAAGUUGCAAAGUGUACAUUGGACAAAAUUUCAUAUGGUAGAUGGUGAUGUGCAAGUGUUGUUCAAUGAUGACAAAGCAACAGAACACAAAGUUAUGAUUUAUAAUAAAUUGAAGCAGCAAAAGAAGAAGGGAGCUCAAUGAGACCUGAGAUUUGAAACAAUUUUUCCUGACUCUCAUCUCCAUCAUUUUUAAUAACAGGAUCCAUUUCAGAUGCUGUCAUCAUGUGCACCGAGUGGAAUCCAUCUGAUAUCCAGAAAGUUUGAAUUCUUGAAGAAAUAUCAGGAAGAACAGCCAACUUUUGCACUUUCAUACUGUGAGGCAAAUGCAUCAUGUGCGAACUGAUGUUUGAUCCACCAACAGGGUUAGACAGGCACAACAUAUGUAAGUCUCCAGUAGAGUCCAAAAUCAUAAAAUUUUUGGGGGAAAGUGCCUGGAUGGAAACUGCUUUCACAGUUGAUUUUGAGCCUUCGACCUCUUUGCUCUUAAAGGCCACAAAACAUGCACCCCCUUCACCAGAAUCAUGUCUACAUCUUACAGACCUAUGCUUAACUGAAACAUAGUGCUUAUCAAUCUUAGCAUCCAGGGAACCAUUGCAAACAAUUGAACUACUAUGAUGAUCACCUCCAAUCACCCCAUUUGGCAAUCUCAACCCUUUACUGUCCAAUUUCCCAUUAAAAUCCAAAUUCCCAUUUGAAUUUGAACUCUUAACUCUCUUAACAUUCCCUUUCACUAGCUGCCUCAAAUUGAAAACCCUAACUCCAUUAUCCUCCCCCAAAAUCAAGUACCCAAAAGAAAUACUAAUGGACCAAACCGGCAGACAACACUCAAUGACAGCACACCUCAUCAAUUUAACCGCAUCGCCAACACCAUCACCGUCACCAUCACCAAUGGGUUUCAAUGCAAAAACCCAAACAUUCCGGUUAGAAACUGAAUACAUGACAAAAAAAUUAAUAGACCCAACAACCUUUAUCGAAACCCCAUGAUUCACAUCCACUAAAACUCCAAACUUUGAAUCAAACCCAAGUCCCUUCUGGUUGCAAACAACUUGAGACUUACUGAAAACAUUGUUACUCUUGAGAAUAUAGAACCUGAGAAGGAUCUGGGAGCCACCCUUAUGUGGGCCAGCAACAAGGAAGAGAACUCUGGGGUGAGCGAGGUGAUGGUGGUGGAGGAGGAUGAAGGAGGACGAAGAGGAGGGAGGAGGGAUUAGGGUUUGGGGUUUGGAGGGGAGAGAGGUAAGGGAGGGAAAGGGAAGGGAAGGAAAGAGAGAGAGGGAGGAAUCAGAAUGCAUUAAGGCUAGAGAGAGAGAGUUUGGCUCCAGAAGAAAGGAGUUUGUCUGAGUCGAAGAGGAAGGGAGAGAGAGUUUGGAGGAUUGGACAAGUACCAUUAGGGGAAGAACCUCAGAUUUUGUUGUUAGGACAUUGGAGAAGGAUUCCU